GGGGAUAUAACUCAGUUGGUAGAGUGCUUGCCUCACAUGCACAACGCCCUGGGUUCAAUCCCCAGUACCAUUA
Non-coding RNA from Ictidomys tridecemlineatus (thirteen-lined ground squirrel), 73 nucleotides. NCBI's taxonomy places the organism in Eukaryota, Metazoa, Chordata, Mammalia, Rodentia, Sciuridae. The record is from Rfam.